This 1220-nucleotide long non-coding RNA is filed under the name Homo sapiens (human). Its description in RNAcentral is "HSALNT0183705". Lineage: Eukaryota; Metazoa; Chordata; Mammalia; Primates; Hominidae. The record is from RNAcentral.
CAGCUAUUCCCCUCCUGACCUUUGCUGAGUACUGAGAAGCCGUGGUGCCUUCCCCUGCAAGCUUCCCCUCUGCAGGAGACUCCAAUGAAUGAAGCAUGCUUAAAUAAAUGUCUCCAAGGCAGCCCCAUCAAAUAUUAAAAGAACAGAACUCCUUCAGUCAGCAACAGGGCACGGCACCCAAUCCCUGAGUGUCAGGGGCUGCCGCCUCCUCUGAUCACUUCAACUUUAAAUAGCUCUUCAGGGGGGUGUUCCUAUCACUAAGGCUGAUAGGCAGUGCCACUUUCUACACGCAGGCUUUGUCUGCAGCAUCUCUCACCAACACAGAGGAACAAGAAAACCUGCUGACCACUCAGAAGGGGAGAGGCAGGUAAAAGAAGACGAGGGAGGCAGUAGGUCAUGGGAGAUUUGAGGAGUUAUCACUUUUGAUAGUCUGGAGGCCAAAGUUGAGAAAGGAGAAAGCUAGGCCCAGCGUGCAGAUCUGGCAUCUGGGAGGUGCAUCUUGAGCAGACAGGACACGGAGAAAGCCCUACCCGCUUCAAAACAGGAAGACUCUACCCUCUGAGCGAGAAAAAGGCCAAUUUCGAUGGAGACUGGCCUUCGGGUAGACAGAAGAGAGGAGUGGUGAAGAACUGAAACAGCCAUGUGCACUUCAUUGCUCGCUCCAUCCCACCGCCCUGCAGGGGGCGAAGAACUGAAACAUCCAUGCGCACUUCAGCGCUCGCUCCAUCCCACCGCCCUCCAGGGGAGGAGGGGAAGUGGUUCUGGUGUCCCAGCUCUACAAAUGGCAGAGACGAGGUCCAGAGUUUCAGUGAGCUGUCCAGGAUCAGAGAGACCCAACUCAGAUUCUGACUCUGAGCACAGCAUGUUUUCCACCCUGGCACUCAGGAAGCUGCCUUAGAUGACAGCUGAAAAAGGGAAGGAAGGAAGGCUUAGAGUGAUGGACUGGGCAGGCAGCAUCCACCAUACUUCAGGAUUUAGGGUCCUGAUUAACCAAGCAGGCUGAUGCAUUCAGUCUUGAGAAGGAGAGAGGGGUUAAGGUAGAGGAGGAGAGUGGAGAAAAAGUUCCCUCACCCACUGCCAGCCGUUCUUCCCCUCCUUCCUUGAACACCACACUUCACCUGCUCUCUGAACUGGGAAAAGCAACAGACCCAGACAGCCACCUCAAUUCUACUUAGCAGCUUAAAAAUCUAAAUUGAUGGCUGUCCUCUUCAUCUCUGAAG